Molecule: long non-coding RNA, 839 nt
Organism: Spea bombifrons (plains spadefoot toad)
Lineage: Eukaryota; Metazoa; Chordata; Amphibia; Anura; Pelobatidae
Exons: 3
Source: RefSeq, a predicted model, not a curated record
GAAGCGAGGUGCAGAAGGGAGGGACAGAGGAAGGAAGAUAGGGUAAAGGAAAAAAAGAGAGAGAGAAAGGCAAGAGAGCGAGGGAAGGGGAGGGGAACACUGGGAGGGAAGUGGGAGGAGAGCAUAGAGAAGUCACAGGGAGGGAGAAAAAGAGAGAUAGAGAUGGAGAAAGGAGGGAGAAGAAAUGUAGAGGGCAGGAAGGGUGGAGGGAGAAGAGAAAGGAAAAAAAAAGAGAGAGAGAGAGAGAGAGCAUAGGGAUUUGGGGCGUAAUAAAAUGAGGAGACGGAGGGGUGAAAAAAAGAAAUAGUAUUAAAAAAAGGAGAAGAGCACUAGAGGAUGAAAGAGAAGAAAAGAUGUAUUGGAGGAGAGGGGAGCGCGGGAAAGAGAAACGCACAAGAGGGGACAAAUAGCUGAGCUGAGGGACAGAAACAGCAAGCGAGAGAGCGCUAGCAAGAGAACGCCUCGAGGAGGAAAAGAGACAGACACACAGAGCAUCUUGUUACAUGGCAGCCCGGCUGGGAGGCUGAAUCCCUGCCAGGGAGGUAGAGAGAAGAUGUCCCCUCUCUUCGUCGUAAAACUGCGCGGGUUUACUGAUUUGGGACCUACUGAUCAAGACAGACCUUCAGGAUCUGUAGAAUUGCUGAUAAUAUCUGGAAUUCCAGAUGUAGGAAGGAAAAGCAGACGGGAGAAGUUCUGGAAGCCCUUUAUCCAAAAGACAAAGGUAGAUUCUAUCCCAAUCGUUGUAUGCAUGGAUGCUGUUUCAAACAUUUGUAGAAAAAUAAGAGUGAUUCUUCUGGAAAUUGGUAAAAAAAAAAAAACAACAACAAACAGAUGCUGUC